GGGCCAUUAGCUCAAUUGGUAGAGCAGGCGACUCUUAAUCGUCAGGUUUAGGGUUCGAGUCCCUAAUGGCCCACCA
RNAcentral lists this transfer RNA (76 nucleotides) under Pelotomaculum schinkii. RNAcentral describes it as "tRNA-Lys". It matches the Rfam family "tRNA". Rfam says of the family: Transfer RNA (tRNA) molecules are approximately 80 nucleotides in length. Their secondary structure includes four short double-helical elements and three loops (D, anti-codon, and T loops). The record is from RNAcentral. Lineage: Bacteria; Bacillati; Bacillota; Clostridia; Eubacteriales; Desulfotomaculaceae.